This is a non-coding RNA of Camellia sinensis, 1289 nucleotides long. The record is from RefSeq and is a predicted model, not a curated record. Lineage: Eukaryota; Viridiplantae; Streptophyta; Magnoliopsida; Ericales; Theaceae.
GGUGCUAAAGGUCAGUUUUCUGUUUGGUCCUUUUAUCGGAGUUUAUGAGGGAGGUGGUAGGAGCGUUUCCUUGGAGGAGUAUUUGGGUGCCUCGAGUUCCUUCUAAGGUGAUUUUCUUCUUACGGACUGUUGCUUUGGGUCAGAAUCUUACAGUUGACAAUCUGGUUCGUUGAGGGCAUGUGAUAGUGAAUCGCUAUUGUAUGUGUUGUGAUAAUGUAGAGUCGGUUGGUCAUUUAUUUCUUCAUUGUUCCAUUGCUUUGCAUCUUUGGGGGCUGAUUUGUUCUCUUUUUAGGAUUAUUUGGGUGCAGCCAAAAGGGGUUGUGGAUAUGCUGUGGAGUUGGAGGGGGGCUCGGGUUGGGUGGCAUUGGCGACAGGUGUAGUCGUUAGUGCUUUUUUGUUUGAUGUGGUUGGUUUAGUUGGAGAGGAAUAGGUGAACUUUUCAAGAGAUUUAUCAUUCGGUGUCGUGUCUAGAGAAUCGACUUUAGUUACUAUGUAUAGUUGGCUAGAGAGUAGUGUUGAUCCAGAUUUGUUUGCUUUCUUAGAUUUUUUGGAUGAUGAAAUUAGUUAGGUGUGUUUUGUUUUUCUUUUCUGGUUUCCUUAUAUUCUUCGCAUCAUCUUAAUACUUUCUCAAUAGAGUUUUAUUAUUUAUCAAAAAAAUAAAAUAAAUGCUUUCUAUGUCCUCAGAUUUGCAUUAUGGUGUAUGAAGUAGAUUUAUUUUAAUAUCAAAUGUUGAUGAAGUGGUGCUCACAGAACCAAGCACAUACUGCUGAUAAAUCAAGAUUCUUAAAUUUGUAUCAUCAUAAGGGUUAUUAGUGCUAGGAAUAUAUUGGUGGAUUUUAAGGAACAAAGGGUAUCAAGUGUUAUGGUCUUGUGCCGUCUUUGUAACUUUUUGGGUUCUAUGGUUGGAAAGAAAUGCGCGGUUGUUCGAAGAUAAAUUUCGGGAAGUGGACUGUUUAUGGGAUAAAGUUUGUUACUUAACUUUCUUUUGGGCUUCGGGGAAUUCUCUCUUUAAGGGGGUGCCACUUUUUUUGUUAGCUAGAGCAAUGUUGUGAGGCGCAGCGAGGCGCAGGUGCAACGCGAGGCGAGUUGAAGAAGGCGCGCGCCUUUUGUGCGCAACUUGGCUAGGCGAACAAAGGCCUCAAUCACAGAGGAUUAGAAAUCUGAGCUAUACUACUCAAUACCCAAGCCCAAAUCGAUUCGAAAUGCCCUAAUCAAUUCGAAAGAAAGAAGAAAUCUUGCGGUGUCUCUUCUCUUCCCUUCAGCUCGUCUAGUCUCAUCUCUGGCCUAGG